Molecule: non-coding RNA, 218 nt
Submitted as: unclassified sequences
Source: Rfam
ACGUUAUAUAGAUAUAUAAAUGCAAGACAAUUUAGUAUCUCCCUUUAACGUGGUGUUUUUGAGAAAUAUAAGUGAUAAGUUUCAUUGUGUAGCUAUUUUUAGUUGAAAUGAAAUGAAUUUAUAUGGAAUAGGUUAACCGUAAGACCUUGUGUUGAAAAACAUUAAAAUUGAUCUAAAAAUGAGAUUUCUGAAAUUUCUUUAUUUUUAGUUACGGUUGA